UACAAAGGAAUUGACGGGGGCCCGCACAGGCGGUGGAGCAUGUGGUUUAAUUCGAAGCAACGCGAAGAACCUUACCAGGUCUUGACAUCCCGAUGCUAUUUCUAGAGAUAGAAAGUUACUUCGGUACAUCGGUGACAGGUGGUGCAUGGUUGUCGUCAGCUCGUGUCGUGAGAUGUUGGGUUAAGUCCCGCAACGAGCGCAACCCCUAUUGUUAGUUGCCAUCAUUCAGUUGGGCACUCUAGCGAGACUGCCGGUAAUAAACCGGAGGAAGGUGGGGACGACGUCAAAUCAUCAUGCCCCUUAUGACCUGGGCUACACACGUGCUACAAUGGUUGGUACAACGAGUUGCGAGUCGGUGACGGCGAGCUAAUCUCUUAAAGCCAAUCUCAGUUCGGAUUGUAGGCUGCAACUCGCCUACAUGAAGUCGGAAUCGCUAGUAAUCGCGGAUCAGCACGCCGCGGUGAAUACGUUCCCGGGCCUU
RNAcentral lists this ribosomal RNA (481 nucleotides) under uncultured Streptococcus sp. RNAcentral describes it as "bacterial SSU rRNA". It matches the Rfam family "Bacterial small subunit ribosomal RNA", at positions 903 to 1382 of the family's 1533-position model. The record is from RNAcentral. Lineage: Bacteria; Bacillati; Bacillota; Bacilli; Lactobacillales; Streptococcaceae.